GGCGAGUUGGCCGAGAGGCUAGGCAGAGGACUGCAAAUCCUUCUACAGCGGUUCGAAUCCGUUACUCGCCU
RNAcentral lists this transfer RNA (71 nucleotides) under Pseudomonadota bacterium. RNAcentral's name for it is "Proteobacteria bacterium (gut metagenome) tRNA-Cys". It matches the Rfam family "tRNA". Rfam says of the family: Transfer RNA (tRNA) molecules are approximately 80 nucleotides in length. Their secondary structure includes four short double-helical elements and three loops (D, anti-codon, and T loops). RNAcentral also lists the same sequence under 3 other names. Lineage: Bacteria; Pseudomonadati; Pseudomonadota. The record is from RNAcentral.